AACGAACGCUGGCGGCAGGCUUAACACAUGCAAGUCGAACGCAUCCUUCGGGGUGAGUGGCAGACGGGUGAGUAACGCGUGGGAACGUGCCCUUCAGUUCGGGAUAACCCAGGGAAACUUGGGCUAAUACCGGAUACGUGCGAGAGCAGAAAGAUUUAUCGCUGAAGGAUCGGCCCGCGUCUGAUUAGCUAGUUGGUGGGGUAAUGGCCCACCAAGGCGACGAUCAGUGGCUGGUCUGAGAGGAUGAUCAGCCACAUUGGGACUGAGACACGGCCCAAACUCCUACGGGAGGCAGCAGUGGGGAAUAUUGGACAAUGGGCGCAAGCCUGAUCCGGCCAUUCCGCGUGAGUGAUGAAGGCCUUAGGGUUGUAAAGCUCUUUCGUCCGGGACGAUAAUGACGGUACCGGAAGAAGAAGCCCCGGCUAACUUCGUGCCAGCCGCCGCAGUAA
This 449-nucleotide ribosomal RNA is filed under the name uncultured bacterium. Its description in RNAcentral is "partial 16S ribosomal RNA". It matches the Rfam family "Bacterial small subunit ribosomal RNA", at positions 29 to 523 of the family's 1533-position model. The record is from RNAcentral.